This 73-nucleotide transfer RNA is filed under the name Symphurus orientalis (pygmy tongue-sole). RNAcentral's name for it is "tRNA-Asn". It matches the Rfam family "tRNA". From Rfam's summary of the family: Transfer RNA (tRNA) molecules are approximately 80 nucleotides in length. Their secondary structure includes four short double-helical elements and three loops (D, anti-codon, and T loops). The record is from RNAcentral. Lineage: Eukaryota; Metazoa; Chordata; Actinopteri; Pleuronectiformes; Cynoglossidae.
UGGGUAAAAGCUCAUAGGUUGGAGCACUUAGCUGUUAACUAAGAAGUUGCAAGAUCAAAGCUUGCUUACCCAG